Long non-coding RNA from Coregonus clupeaformis (lake whitefish), 1111 nucleotides. RefSeq lists it as uncharacterized. NCBI's taxonomy places the organism in Eukaryota, Metazoa, Chordata, Actinopteri, Salmoniformes, Salmonidae. The transcript has 4 exons. The record is from RefSeq and is a predicted model, not a curated record.
AAGAACCCUGAUGUAGACCAACAGAGAGAAGAAGAAGCAGGACAUGCAGAACAUAAAGUUAACUGUGAGAAGAUGAAAGUCACAGGACCAUGGCCAGGGUUGUUUCUGAAGAGGAUAGACAUGUCUAAAGUCUGCCAGUACAUUAGUUUCAAUAUAGAUGCCAGACAUCUGGAUGACAUUUACAGUGAGGAUAGGAGACUUGAUGGGGAAGAUGAUUUUGUUGAGGAAGACAAUUUUGCUGAACAUGAGGACUGGGUUAAGGAGGAGAUAAAAUACAACAGCCAGGCUGAGGUAAAGGUUGAGAUCGGGUCAGUCUCUGAGAUGGGACAGUCUAUUGACAUGGCUAGAAAUACUGAGAAUGUUGAGAGGGGUCAGCUAAGAAAGAUAGCAAAUCAGAUGCCUGUAACUGGGAGGGCCAAGAGAGGUGUAUCUGCCCCUGUCAUCUCCUCGUCCAGCCCUAACACCGCUGAGAGAGAGACCCUCUCCUGCCUGAAACGUAAAAACAAAAAAGAUCCCUCCCAUAGACCAAGCCACUGCUGUCCUGACUGUGACAUGCCUGAACCACCACCGCAGAAGCCAUAAUAAGGUUCUGAGCUGCCCUGAGUGUGGGAAGCAGUUCAGGGACAAGUAUAAUCUGAAAUGUCACAUAAGGACCCACACAGGUAAAAAAAGAAGGGACAUUUCAAAAAAUGACAUUCAUAUUCAUUAUCUCCAGCACCACCCCAACAUCAAAAUGGUGCAUGUCUAUGUUCUGAAGUCGAGAUGGAGAAGGAUACGUUUCUGAUGAGCUCAUCCGGAAAACCGUUUGACAUUAUCUGGUACUUUACUAACCUUUGCCUGCUCGUAGCCUGUAGUGUGUAUUCAUCGAUGCCAAGGGAAGCCAGGCUUCCCAAAAAAAUUGACUAAGAAAAAAAACAUACAAAAUAAUUUAUAUUUCGUCUCUCUCUGUGUUUCAUAAAUUUCCUUCAAUUCGCAAGAGGCUGAAUGUAUCUCACCGGAGAAAACAUCUGAGCAAACGGAACAGCACCCCUCUGUUUCAGUAUGUGUAGCCCAACUAUCUGAUGCUGUCUGAGUGGCGCAGUGGUCUAAGGCACUGCAUCGCAGUGCUUGC